Molecule: ribosomal RNA, 407 nt
Filed under: uncultured bacterium
Lineage: Bacteria
Description: bacterial SSU rRNA
Rfam family: Bacterial small subunit ribosomal RNA
Source: RNAcentral
UGAGGAAUAUUGGUCAAUGGGCGCAAGCCUGAACCAGCCAUCCCGCGUGAAGGAAGAAUGCGCUACGCGUUGUAAACUUCUUUUCCAGGGGGAGAAUUUUCCUGUCGAGACAGGGGUUGACGGUACCCUGGGAAUAAGCAUCGGCUAACUCCGUGCCAGCAGCCGCGGUAAUACGGAGGAUGCGAGCGUUAUCCGGAUUUAUUGGGUUUAAAGGGUGCGUAGGCGGAUUGAUAAGUCAGUGGUGAAAUUCUGCAGCUUAACUGUAGACUUGCCGUUGAUACUGUUAGUCUUGAGUGUGGUCAAGGCAGGCGGAAUGUGUAUGUAGCGGUGAAAUGCUUAGAUAUUACACAGAACACCGAUUGCGACGGCAGCUUGCUGGGUCAUUACUGACGCUGCUGCACGAAAGC